AUGAGUUCCUGGCAGUUUAAAUUCAAGCAUCCUGUUGACUCAGAGACUGAAACUGUCAACAGGAGGCAGGCUAGUUUAUUUCUUCGCAGUCUCCAGUCCGAGCAAAAGUCAUCUCAAGCAUAGACCUGCUUCCUGGCAACAGGGGAGCACUGAUAUUUUCAUCAGUUCAAGAUGGAGGAGGUAAACAGAAGGUUGUUGAUGAAGAAUUUUAUAAAUUAUGCAGGUCAAAAUCAUCAAGUGAGACUUGCAUGGGAUGAGCUGAAGAACAAAUAAAAGGUGCACGAUGGGUUUCCUGACUCCAUGGAGGAGAUGCUGCCCAACCUGCUGGGUGCCUUCAGCAUCUUCUGUUUUGGUUAAUUGCAGUUUAUGUCUUUUUGUCUGAUUGGCAAUACAAGAAAAAGAGUUAACAGGCCAGUUGGCUGAAGUCCAAAUGAAACGCAAGUUCCCCUUGACAGUGUGUACUGGGACAACUUGGCCACGUCAGCUAGUUUGGUAUCACAUGGCUUCAAUUAUUUUUAACAAAGGCGAGCCAACGUACUGUAACCUGACACUGCAGCUUGCUCAUAUGCUUAUUUCUGCUCAUCUAGACUUAUGCAAUACAGAAAUAUAUAAUUUUUUAAACUUCUGUGGAGUAGUAUUUCCAGUCAAUUUACUUACUUCCAGUGUUUUUACUUUCUGUGACAUUGAUUCAAAGGGAAAAGGAUGUGUGAUCACACAGUUAAAUCUGAAACCAGAAGUAACCAUAAGUGGCUUGUCAGCCUCUCAUGCACUGCGGGGUUACUGGAGUUCAUUUGACAGAAGGCUCCUAGCUAAUUUAAAUGCAUAAUUCAUAAAUGUUGCAUUCAAGGGAGGGGAGCUCCUGGGAUAAUAACCACUAUUCAUAUUACAAAUGAUCAAACAAAGAGAAUCUGCAGACAAGUUGGAAUAUUGCACCACUGUAAUGUGUUGGAACAUGCAAACAGUAUGCCAACACAAAGCAGGCAAAGCAGAAACAAACCCCCACAACAGAGGAGAAGAGAACAUAAAAGACUGAGGUGUGGCUUGAACGUGGCUUUGAGGACUGUAAAGAUUAUAGAGUAGACCAAACAAAGAAGCUUCCAUUUACAGAGAGGUCUAAGGGCCUUUGUUGUAAAGUGGUCACAAACAAAUAUAAUGGAGAAUUUCUUCAAAAUGAGAGAGCAGCAACUCUCCACCACAACUUGUACUUGAGGGGAAUUGUACAGGUUUGUGAGGGAAAGCUCGAUAAACAGGAAGGAUAACUGAAUAAGAACCAAAGCAAAAAAAAAAAUUACAUAGACUGGGAGCAUCAGUAGGUCAAGCAGCUUCUGCUGGGAGAGGGACAGAGUCAACAUUUUGAAUUUCUUUCCAUAACUGAGCACUUUCAGCAUUUGAUGGCUUUGUUUUGGAUUUCUGGUACUCUCGGUUUUCUUGCCGCAAAGAAUAAGACGCGAAACAAAGAUGAGAUGAAGGGGCUUGAGAGUACUGGCACAUACAGCACCAACUCAGGCAUGGUCCAGAGGGGCAGAAUGGCCUGCUUCUCUGAGAUAAAAGCAGAAAAUGCUCUAAAAACUCAGCAGGUCGGGCAGCAUCUAUGGAAACAGAAACAGUUCACGUUUUGGGGGCUGCGUUCAGAAUGGACAGUUGCCUGACUUCUGCUGGAGGUAUAGAGUGAGUCAAUAACUGGAUGUGAUUGUAAAGAACCUUAAGCCUUCUUAAUAUUGAUAAUUGAAAGCGGCAAAAACUAGUUUUCAUAGAACUGUUUCCCAACAGUAGAUAGUCCAGACAGAAGGGAGGAACAAACAUCCAGCUUGCUUGGUACAUCAAUGUGGGCCCAGUGGUACUGUGAGGUUGCUAAUUCUAUGCCAAGUUUCUGGGACAGCAAUCUUUCUAAGUUUUCUGUGUGAAGUAUGAUUUCAUGAGCUCAGGGAUGUGUAUCGCAAUAUGAAGGAGAAGCCAUGAAUCCAGUCUAAAAAUCACAAAUCCCCAAUUCAUUACACCUUUGACCGUUGGCAAGAACAUUUUGAUUUUGAGGGAGUCAGUUGUCAGUCAAAUAAGCAGGAACUAUGUGCUUAUAGCCAAGCAACUGCUUUUUCUUCAUGCAUGGGUUAAUUUGAUUUGUCAACAGUAGCAAAGGUAAAUGUUACCUCCAGGGGUUUUUUUUUUGAAACUAUGAACUGGGGUAGGAUCCAACACAUGGAUAUGUAAUGCCACAUUAAUCAGUGUCAUGUUAGAAAUAUCUCGUAAUAUCGGUGCAAAGUUGCACCAUCAAUUAAUUCACUGACUGUAUGGAUAAAUACACCCAAUACUUAGCCCACUGCUCUCAGAGGAGUGAAAUCAGGAAGUUUCACAAUGAACAAUGAUGAUCUACCCAUGAUACGUUGCAACUUGCCUUCCAGCUUAAGCUGACAGAGAAAUUGCUAAGGCAAUAGAGGAUCCACAUGGACUGAGUUUCACCAAUGUUAGUGCAAUCUGGGUCUUGGACCUGAAACAGUAGCUUUCUUUGCCUGUCCUACCUGAGCCAUUGAGUAUUUUCUAGUUCUACUUCAAAUGAAUUUCAACAUGGCCUGAGCUUGUGGUACAGAGCUGCAGAACCAUGACACUGAACUGAUUUUCCUACUGAGAGACAUAGUCGUGGGAAGCAUCAUCGAGUGGGAUAUGAUUUCUUAUGACUGGGUCAAAAUCAUUGUAUGAGGUCAAUGCCUCAGAUGCCCAGGAUUUCUCAGUGACAGACUAAAAUGCUUGGCACUACACUCGGAACCAAACAGGGAAAAUACCACCCUCAUCUUAAUUGUUUCAGAAGUUAACCCUUCUCAGUGACAGACUAAAAUGCUUGGCACUACACUCGGAACCAAACAGGGAAAGUACCACCCUCAUCUUAAUUGUUUCAGAAGUUAACCCAAAAAAUAAGGAAAAAGUCAAGCAUCUACUGAAGAUGCAGUUAAAUUAUGAAGCCAGCUGACUAACUCUGUCACACACAGAUACUUCAGUACAGGACACAGGAGGCUAUGUUUGCCUCUUUGCAACAGUAACACCAAGAGCAUAACAAGGACAAGGACUUCCAGAGCAAUACUGGUCUCCUGGGCAUCAUCUGAUAUCAAAUUCCUAUGUGCUAUUUUAACAAAUA
This is a long non-coding RNA of Mobula hypostoma (lesser devil ray), 3124 nucleotides long. RefSeq lists it as uncharacterized. The transcript is spliced from 3 exons. NCBI's taxonomy places the organism in Eukaryota, Metazoa, Chordata, Chondrichthyes, Myliobatiformes, Myliobatidae. The record is from RefSeq and is a predicted model, not a curated record.